GAUGAACGCUGGCGGCGUGCCUAAUACAUGCAAGUCGAGCGAACAGACGAGGAGAUUGCUCCUCUGACGUUAGCGGCGGACGGGUGAGUAACACGUGGAUAACCUACCUAUAAGACUGGGAUAACUUCGGGAAACCGGAGCUAAUACCGGAUAAUUUAUUGAACCGCAUGGUUCAAUAGUUAAAGACGGUUUUGCUGUCACUUAUAGUUGGCUCCGCGCCGCAUUAGCUAGUUGGUAAGGUAACGGCUUACCAAGGCAACGAUGCGUAGCCGACCUGAGAGGGUGAUCGGCCACACGGGAACUGAGACACGGUCCAGACUCCUACGGGAGGCAGCAGUAGGGAAUCUUCCGCAAUGGGCGAAAGCCUGACGGAGCAACGCCGCGUGAGUGAUGAAGGUCUUCGGAUCGUAAAACUCUGUUAUUAGGGAAGAACAAAUGUGUAAGUAACUAUGCACGUCUUGACGGUACCUAAUCAGAAAGCCACGGCUAACUACGUG
This 497-nucleotide ribosomal RNA is filed under the name uncultured bacterium. Its description in RNAcentral is "partial 16S ribosomal RNA". It matches the Rfam family "Bacterial small subunit ribosomal RNA", at positions 28 to 507 of the family's 1533-position model. The record is from RNAcentral.